RNAcentral lists this ribosomal RNA (120 nucleotides) under uncultured bacterium. RNAcentral describes it as "partial 16S ribosomal RNA". It matches the Rfam family "Bacterial small subunit ribosomal RNA", at positions 30 to 147 of the family's 1533-position model. The record is from RNAcentral.
AUUGAACGCUGGCGGCAUGCCUUACACAUGCAAGUCGAACGGCAGCACGGGGGCAACCCUGGUGGCGAGUGGCGAACGGGUGAGUAACACAUCGGAACGUGUCCCGUAGUGGGGGAUAGC